This 406-nucleotide ribosomal RNA is filed under the name uncultured bacterium. RNAcentral describes it as "partial 16S ribosomal RNA". It matches the Rfam family "Bacterial small subunit ribosomal RNA", at positions 30 to 526 of the family's 1533-position model. The record is from RNAcentral.
AUUGAACGCUGGCGGCAGGCCUAACACAUGCAAGUCGAACGAGUGGCGGACGGGUGAGUAAUUUCUGGGAAACUUCCUGAUGGAGGGGGAUAAAUACUGGAAACGGUAGCUAAUACCGCAUACCAUCAGAUGUGCCCAGAUGGGAUUAGCUGGUUGGUGGGGUAACGGCUCACCAAGGCGACUAUCCAUAGCUGGUCUGAGAGGAUGACCAGCCACACUGGAACGGAGACACGGUCCAGACUCCUCCGGGAGGCAGCAGUGGGGAAUAUUGCACAAUGGGCGCAAGCCUGAUGCAGCCAUGCCGCGUGUAUGAAGAAGGCCUUCGGGUUGUAAAGUACUUUCAGCGGGGAGGCGUUACCCGCAGAAGAAGCACCGGCUAACUCCGUGCCAGCAGCCGCGGUAAUAC